UAAGAAGCUCCGCGCGCUACUUUAGGUACCUGACUUUCAUGUAACAUAAGAAAAGUCUAAAGGACCUGAGCAGCGCGAACAGCUACUC
MicroRNA precursor from Pediculus humanus corporis (human body louse), 88 nucleotides. NCBI's taxonomy places the organism in Eukaryota, Metazoa, Arthropoda, Insecta, Psocodea, Pediculidae. The record is from RefSeq and is a predicted model, not a curated record.